GCGUGUAACAGGGCUGUUCAAAAUGCAAUGACCUUAUAUGAAGAGAUUGGGACACAGUUGAGUUGUGAAAAAAAAUCAUCUUUUAGUUUAGCAUUCUUUUUACAUGAAUCUCUACAAAGUCAUUCAGGCAUAACAAACAUUCGCAGGACUAUAUCAUCAUAGGGCCAUGUGUACGGCUGCAGCAGGUGUGUGUGUGUGUGUGUGUGUGUGUGUGUGUGUGUGUGUGUGUGUGUGCCAUGUGUACAGCUGGAGCCAAUGAGAUCAGAGCAGACACAGAAGACGACAGCAGCCCCGCGGUCACAGGUCUUAUGGCAUAUAACAUAUACAUCUGCAGGGGAAUAUAUAUAUAUAGGGUUGAAUAAUCUCUGUUGAAUAAGACUCUAUGGGCCCAUUCACGUAAAGGAAACAAUAAGGGACAAUAUCCAGGCAUCUGAGCCCACGAAACGGAGUGAUAAAAGACAAUGAUGUUUCUGUGGCGCCAUGUUUUGUAGGCCAGGUUUAACCGGGAAAGUGAAGUCACCUAAGCUGAGAUAAAUACAAGCAUUCCAAUGCUGCAAAGUCACAUCACUCAUCACAACGCACAACCCCCCCCCCCCCCCGUUAGCUGUCCUUUCUCCAGUUCCCCCACAGACACACUGCGCCACGCUGGUGGGUGUUGGCGGGCGGAGGAGGAGGAGGAGGAGGUGGAGGAGGAGGAGGAGGAGCUGGAGCUGGAGCUGGGCAGAGUUCCCUGCUGUGGUACGCACGCGUGCAUGAUUGAUCAGCCCUAUCAGGCGUGGCAUCUUAAUGAGUUCCUUAGCAGAAUGAUUUAUUUAUAUCUGGGAGGAGAGAUAGACAGAGGGAGAGAGAGAGAGAGAGAGAGAGAGAGAAGGGCUUUGCUGAUGCCAGGACGCCUUUGGCACUCUUUCGGGUUUCUCCUCCUCGCCGUCCUCCCCCUUAGCCCAUCAUCAUCUCCUCCUCCUCCUCCUCCUCCUCCUCUUCUUCUUCUUUCAUCCUCUCUCCCCCUCCCUCCCUCCCUGGGCACUAGUGUGCUUUGGGCGUGGCGAAGUCCCAGGCGGUGUCCUGGGCGCACUUGACCAUGGCGCGCACCAGCCGCGUGAAGCCCAUGUCUUUGGGUUUCUCCAGCCCGCGCAUCAGCCUCUGCUUCAUGAUGGCGAUGAACUCCUUAUUGCUCAGCUCCCCGUUG
This is a long non-coding RNA of Clupea harengus (Atlantic herring), 1186 nucleotides long. The record is from Ensembl. Lineage: Eukaryota; Metazoa; Chordata; Actinopteri; Clupeiformes; Clupeidae.